Molecule: ribosomal RNA, 423 nt
Filed under: uncultured bacterium
Lineage: Bacteria
Description: bacterial SSU rRNA
Rfam family: Bacterial small subunit ribosomal RNA
Source: RNAcentral
UGCCAGCAGCCGCGGUAAUACGUAGGUGGCAAGCGUUGUCCGGAUUUAUUGGGUUUAAAGGGUGCGUAGGCGGCCUAUUAAGUCAGUGCUGAAAUAUCCCGGCUUAACCGGGAGGGUGGCAUUGAUACUGAUGGGCUUGAGUAGAGUCGAGGUAGGCGGAAUUGACGGUGUAGCGGUGAAAUGCUUAGAUAUCGUCAAGAACACCGAUAGUGUAGACAGUUUACUAGACUCAAACUGACGCUGAGGCACGAAAGUGUGGGGAUCAAACAGGAUUAGAUACCCUGGUAGUCCACACUGUAAACGUUGAUUACUCGCUGUGUGCGAUAUACAGUACGCGGCUUAGCGAAAGCGAUAAGUAAUCCACCUGGGGAGUACGCCGGCAACGGUGAAACUCAAAGGAAUUGACGGGGGCCCGCACAAGAA